UAGGGAAUCUUCGGCAAUGGACGAAAGUCUGACCGAGCAACGCCGCGUGAGUGAAGAAGGUUUUCGGAUCGUAAAACUCUGUUGGUAGAGAAGAACGUUGGUGAGAGUGGAAAGCUCAUCAAGUGACGGUAACUACCUAGAAAGGGACGGCUAACUACGUGCCAC
RNAcentral lists this ribosomal RNA (165 nucleotides) under uncultured bacterium. RNAcentral's name for it is "partial 16S rRNA". It matches the Rfam family "Bacterial small subunit ribosomal RNA", at positions 355 to 511 of the family's 1533-position model. The record is from RNAcentral.